RNAcentral lists this ribosomal RNA (432 nucleotides) under uncultured bacterium. RNAcentral describes it as "partial 16S ribosomal RNA". It matches the Rfam family "Bacterial small subunit ribosomal RNA", at positions 29 to 506 of the family's 1533-position model. The record is from RNAcentral.
AACGAACGCUGGCGGCAUGCCUAACACAUGCAAGUCGAACGAGACCUUCGGGCCUAGUGGCGCACGGGUGCGUAACGCGUGGGAACCUGCCCUUAGGUUCGGAAUAACUCCCCGAAAGGGGUGCUAAUACCGGAUAAUGUCUUCGGACCAAAGAUUUAUCGCCUUUGGAUGGGCCCGGGUUGGAUUAGCUAGUUGGUAGGGUAAAAGCCUACCAAGGCGACGAUCCAUAGCUGGUCUGAGAGGAUGAUCAGCCACACUGGGACUGAGACACGGCCCAGACUCCUACGGGAGGCAGCAGAGGGGAAGAAUGGACAAGGGGCGAGAGCCUGAUCCAGCAAGGCCGCGAGAGUGAUGAAGGCCUUAGGGAUGUAAAGCUCUUUUACCCGGGAUGAUAAUGACAGAACCGGGAGAAUAAGCUCCGGCGAACUCCGU